Molecule: long non-coding RNA, 414 nt
Filed under: Rattus norvegicus (Norway rat)
Lineage: Eukaryota; Metazoa; Chordata; Mammalia; Rodentia; Muridae
Description: long non-coding RNA NONRATT028069
Source: RNAcentral
CUUGCUGAUACCGGUCCACGUGAAGCGGGAAGUCCAGCUUCGAGGCAGGAACCUGUGGCUCUUCCAGGACGGCCCAAGGAGCAGUGAGUGUGUGCUGGUGCUGGAGGGCCUCGAGGUGGCAGUGGAGGCUCAGGUGGAGUGUGAGCCACCUCCAGACACAUGGUGCCACAUCAAGUGCCAGCAGCACCAGUUCAGCUAUGAAGCUUCAAAGCCAGAACUCCAAGUGGGACUGUUCCUGCGCUGGGCGGGUGGUCUGCGUGUGGACAGUCCCGAGAAGCCUGUAAUGAAGCCGAGACCGUGGCUACCCAGUGCCCUGCACCUCUAAUUCACUCGGUGGAGCCGCUGACUGGACCUAUAGACGGAGGCACCCGUGUCACCAUCAGGGGCUCCAACCUGGGCCAGCAUGUCCAGGAC